AUGAGGGAAGAUUGAACAAAUUGGGUUAAUUUAGUCUGGAAAAGAGAAGACUGAGAAGGGACUUGGUAACAGUUUUCAAGAACGUAAAAGGUUGUUACAAGGAGUAGGGAGAAAAAAUUUUUUUCUUAACUUAUGGGGAUGGGACGAGAAGCAGUGGGCUUAAAUUGCAGUAAGGGAGGUUUAGGUUGGAUGUUAGGAAAAACUUCCUAAGUGGUAAAGCCUGUAAAUAAAUUGCCUAGGGAGGUUGUGGGCUGCUGGGACCAUGUGCUGAGUUUGAGGAGGAUGCAUUUGGUGCGGGGGGCAAGAGGGGAAAUCUCUUCUCCCCCAGGGGAAAGUUAAGGAUUAAGCGCAUAGUCAUUUUUAGCUUUUUUUUUCAAAACUGAUCUGAGCCCAGGAAACAUCUGACAUUUCCAAAGUAUGAAAUGGGAACCAUGCCUUCAAGAAAAUCCCAAAGCUCUCUUCAAAAAUGGGAAC
Long non-coding RNA from Dermochelys coriacea (leatherback sea turtle), 474 nucleotides. RefSeq lists it as uncharacterized. NCBI's taxonomy places the organism in Eukaryota, Metazoa, Chordata, Testudines, Dermochelyidae. The record is from RefSeq and is a predicted model, not a curated record. The transcript is spliced from 3 exons.